Molecule: ribosomal RNA, 1625 nt
Filed under: Intrasporangiaceae bacterium JGI 0001002-M5
Lineage: Bacteria; Bacillati; Actinomycetota; Actinomycetes; Micrococcales; Intrasporangiaceae
Description: bacterial LSU rRNA
Rfam family: Bacterial large subunit ribosomal RNA
Source: RNAcentral
CGCGGGAGACACACGGCGGGUGCUAACGUCCGUCGUGAAAAGGGAAACAACCCAGACCCGCAGCUAAGGUCCCAAAAUCAUCGCUGAGUGGAAAACGAUGUGGAAAGGCACAGACAGCCAGGAGGUUGGCUUAGAAGCAGCCAUCCUUUAAAGAAAGCGUAAUAGCUCACUGGUCGAGUCGGUCUGCGCGGAAGAUUUAACGGGGCUAAUCGAUGUACCGAAGCUCGGGGUGCACACUAUGUGUGCGCGGUAGAGGAGCGUUCCGUAAGCCGUCGAAGGUGUGUGGAAACGCAUGCUGGAGGUAUCGGAAGUGCGAAUGCUGACAUGAGUAACGAUAAGGGGGGUGAAAAGCCUCCCCGCCGAAAGCCCAAGGUUUCCUUGCGCAACGUUAAUCGACGCAGGGUGAGUCGGCCCCUAAGGCGAGACCGAAAGGUGUAGUCGAUGGGAAGCUGGUUAAUAUUCCAGCACCUCGCGUGACUGCGAUGGGGGGACGGAGAAGGUUAGGUGUACCGGCUGUUGGUUGCCGGGGAAAGGCGGUAGGCAUGAGGCGUAGGCAAAUCCGCGCUUCUUUAUGCCGAGCACCGAGACGAGUCCUAUUGGACGAAGUCACUGAUACCACGCUUCCAGGAAAAGCCUCUAAGCUUCAGGUCACGCAAGACCGUACCGGAAACCGACACAGGUGGGCAGGAUGAGAAUUCUAAGGCGCUUGAGAGAACUCGGGUGAAGGAACUAGGCAACAUGGCACCGUAACUUCGGGAGAAGGUGCACCACGUUUGGUGGCCCAUGCGGGCUAUAGCUGGACGUGGUCGCAGAAACCAGGCCGCUGCGACUGUUUAUCAAAAACACAGCACUCUGCAAACACGAAAGUGGACGUAUAGGGUGUGACGCCUGCCCGGUGCUGGAAGGUUAAUUGAUGGGGUCAGCCGCAAGGCGAAGCUCUUGAUCGAAGCCCCAGUAAACGGCGGCCGUAACUAUAACGGUCCUAAGGUAGCGAAAUUCCUUGUCGGGUAAGUUCCGACCUGCACGAAUGGCGUAACGACAGCGGCGCUGUCUCCACCCGAGACUCAGUGAAAUUGAAAUCGCUGUGAAGAUGCAGCGUUCCCGCGGCAAGACGGAAAGACCCCGUGAACCUUUACUAUAGCUUUACAUUGAACGUUGAGUUCGUCUGUGUAGGAUAGGUGGGAGGCUUUGAAGCGCAGGCGCUAGCUUGCGUGGAGCCAUCCUUGAAAUACCACCCUGAUGUGCUUGACGUUCUAACCUGGGCCCGUUAUCCGGGCCGGGGACCAUGUAUGGUGGGUAGUUUGACUGGGGCGGUCUCCUCCCAAAGAGUAACGGAGGAGCACGAAGGUACGCUCAGCGCGGUCGGACAUCGCGCACUGUGUGCAAAGGCAUAAGCGUGCUUGACUGCGAGAUCGACGGAUCAAGCAGGUACGAAAGUAGGUCUUAGUGAUCCGGUGGUUCUGUAUGGAAGGGCCAUCGCUCAACGGAUAAAAGGUACUCCGGGGAUAACAGGCUGAUACCGCCCAAGAGUUCAUAUCGACGGCGGUGUUUGGCACCUCGAUGUCGGCUCAUCACAUCCUGGGGCUGUAGUCGGUCCCAAGGGUAUGGCUGUUCGCCAUUUAAAG